RNAcentral lists this non-coding RNA (27 nucleotides) under Rattus norvegicus (Norway rat). The record is from RNAcentral. Lineage: Eukaryota; Metazoa; Chordata; Mammalia; Rodentia; Muridae.
UAUAAUGAACAAUUUCAGGGACCCAAG